AUACAGGAAGAAACGUACCCUCGUGAGGGUGCCUGACGGUACUGUAGGAAUAAGCACCGGCUAACUCCGUGCCAGCAGCCGCGGUAAUACGGAGGGUGCGAGCGUUAUCCGGAUUUAUUGGGUUUAAAGGGUCCGUAGGCGGAUUAAUAAGUCAGUGGUGAAAUCCCAUCGCUUAACGAUGGAACUGCCAUUGAUACUGUUAGUCUUGAAUGAGGGUGCAGUGGUUGGAAUGUGUAGUGUAGCGGUGAAAUGCAUAGAUAUUACACAGAACACCGAUUGCGAAGGCAGAUCACUAACCCUAAAUUGACGCUGAGGGACGAAAGCGUGGGGAGCGAACAGGAUUAGAUACCCCUGGUAG
This 358-nucleotide ribosomal RNA is filed under the name uncultured bacterium. Its description in RNAcentral is "bacterial SSU rRNA". It matches the Rfam family "Bacterial small subunit ribosomal RNA", at positions 438 to 793 of the family's 1533-position model. The record is from RNAcentral.